CAGCAAAGCAUCUCAUGUCCACCGCAAAACGUUUGCGGUAUAUGAUCCUUAUCCAAUAGGGUCCACGGAGUACUACAGAGACAUCAAUGGGUAAGAGAGAGCUGGGAACGAUUCCAGGUCCGCUUCUCCCUGCAGCUCCAUGGAAACUUCCACCGAGUGGACUUGGAGCAGGAGAAGGAGAAGCAACAGCACUCCCUGAGGCAGACUGGCCAACAGCAUUUGGAGCUGCUAAAGUUGAAGGUUGAGUUUGUUGCGUCUGAUUUGAUUGUCUGGAAGUCGCUGUAGCAGGUACGACAGUCACGCCAGUGGCUGAACUAGCUCGGGCAGGGCGAGUAGCAGCAGCUAACGCAGUCAAAGGCCCAGCAGUAAGGCGAAUGCAAUCCAGAAGAGAUUCUACCUCUCCACCAUUUAUGAAAUCCUCCAAGAACUGUACAAGAAUAACCCACAAUAAGCAAAAUUAUAUAUAUAGAGUAAAAACUCUAUAAAUUAAUAAUGUUGGACUAUGGUAUUUUAUUAAUUUACAAAAAGUUUCCUUUUUAGAUUUUUUCUUUUUAAAAUAUAUUUUUCCAAAAUAUUUUCAUGUAUAUACAUUAAUUAAAAGUUUGGAAUUUGACAUUCAUAUUGUUUUUAUUAUAUUAUUUGGUGUAUAUAAUAUGUUUUAUAGAACUUAAAUGUGGUUUUAGAUAUAAUUUUACUAAAUCUCAUCAAAAUAUAUUAAAUGUUAAUAAAAUAUUAAGAUCAUUCCAUUGUUAAUAUAAAAAAAACAAUAAAUGGUUUGUUUUUACUUAUAUAAAAUGUAUAUAAGUAUAUAAAUAAUCAGUUCAUAAUUUUAAUGGGACCAUAUAUUUACAUAUGUUUUUUUAACUAUUCUUUUAUUAUUUUAUCGAUUUGUAUUAUAUUUUGAACCGGCCCAAUGGGACAGUAGAAAUUUAUUAAUUUAUGGUGUUUAUUAAUUUAUUAAUUUAUGGUAUUUAUUAAUUUGGGAGUACUAAUUUAUAGAAUUCUAUUGUACAUACCUCUUAAGAGUAAAAAGUAAUUCCUAUGAAAUACUCACCUUGGUAUGUGGCCAGUGUUGGUCAGGAGAGACGUGCAUGGUGCAUUCAUCUUUACCUGAUUCCCACUCCACAACAAAACGAGCCAAAAUGCCCGAACCAAAGCUAAACCACAGGCUCGUCAAUCCCACUGCCUCAAUCUUGAAAGCCCUCCAUCUAUCAACCGCCUCCCCACCGCCUUUCCCUCCAGCAGGUCCUUUAACAGCGUGAUUAGCACCAAGGGUCCACGGAGUACUACAGAGACAUCAAUGGGUAAGAGAGAGCUGGGAACGAUUCCAGGUCCGCUUCUCCCUGCAGCUCCAUGGAAACUUCCACCGAGUGGACUUGGAGCAGGAGAAGGAGAAGCAACAGCACUCCCUGAGGCAGACUGGCCAACAGCAUUUGGAGCUGCUAAAGUUGAAGGUUGAGUUUGUUGCGUCUGAUUUGAUUGUCUGGAAGUCGCUGUAGCAGGUACGACAGUCACGCCAGUGGCUGAACUAGCUCGGGCAGGGCGAGUAGCAGCAGCUAACGCAGUCAAAGGCCCAGCAGUAAGGCGAAUGCAAUCCAGAAGAGAUUCUACCUCUCCACCAUUUAUGAAAUCCUCCAAGAACUGUACAAGAAUAACCCACAAUAAGCAAAAUUAUAUAUAUAGAGUAAAAACUCUAUAAAUUAAUAAUGUUGGACUAUGGUAUUUUAUUAAUUUACAAAAAGUUUC
This 1746-nucleotide long non-coding RNA is filed under the name Brassica napus (rape). RNAcentral describes it as "long non-coding RNA (BNAP_LNC018048)". The record is from RNAcentral. Lineage: Eukaryota; Viridiplantae; Streptophyta; Magnoliopsida; Brassicales; Brassicaceae.